GUGGGAAUAGCUCAGUGGUAGAGCACAUGCUUAGCAUACAUAAGGUCCUGGGUUCAAACACCAGUACCUCCA
Molecule: transfer RNA, 72 nt
Organism: Camelus ferus (Wild Bactrian camel)
Lineage: Eukaryota; Metazoa; Chordata; Mammalia; Artiodactyla; Camelidae
Rfam family: tRNA
About the family: Transfer RNA (tRNA) molecules are approximately 80 nucleotides in length. Their secondary structure includes four short double-helical elements and three loops (D, anti-codon, and T loops). Further hydrogen bonds mediate the characteristic L-shaped molecular structure. tRNAs have two regions of fundamental functional importance: the anti-codon, which is responsible for specific mRNA codon recognition, and the 3' end, to which the tRNAs corresponding amino acid is attached (by aminoacyl-tRNA synthetases). tRNAs cope with the degeneracy of the genetic code in two manners: having more than one tRNA (with a specific anti-codon) for a particular amino acid; and 'wobble' base-pairing, i.e. permitting non-standard base-pairing at the 3rd anti-codon position.
Source: Rfam